Helicoverpa zea (corn earworm) is the source of this 274-nucleotide long non-coding RNA. RefSeq lists it as uncharacterized. Lineage: Eukaryota; Metazoa; Arthropoda; Insecta; Lepidoptera; Noctuidae. The transcript has 4 exons. The record is from RefSeq and is a predicted model, not a curated record.
GCAUCAACUAUACCUGGCAUGAGUAUUGCGACGGGUGUAUUGAAUAGUGCCAUGGGCAUGGCAGGUCACAUGAUGAAUACUGGCACUGACCUGGCGACUAAAGCUAUUAGCAUAGCGACCAGUAUGGGUUAGUCAUACAAGUUCUCCAAACAUCAGAAGGAGCCGCUGUUCCAGUUGAGCAAUAUUUAUGAAGAAAUCUUGCAUAAAUGUAAUAACAAUAAAUACUGUAAAACUAUAUAUGUAUAUCUGGUACCAAUAUUUAUUUCCACUAAGC